Molecule: RNA transcript, 7823 nt
Organism: Aethina tumida (small hive beetle)
Lineage: Eukaryota; Metazoa; Arthropoda; Insecta; Coleoptera; Nitidulidae
Gene name: repetitive organellar protein
Exons: 12
Source: RefSeq, a predicted model, not a curated record
CGUUUGUAAAGUUUUAAAAGUCCUAGAAACCGACAGUUAUGGUGGCUAAAGUUGUUUAGAGUUGUGUUUUGUGCUUUCAAUUAAUGUUUCCGUAUUACAACAACAUAUUAAAAUGACUAAUCAGUGGGAAACUAUUUUAGUUGAAUGGGUAAACUGCUUAAACUUAUCCAAAACUAUAGAAAGCAUAGAGGAACUUAAAGAUGUAGACUUUUUUAACAAUAUACAGAAAAUUUUAAAAAAGUCCGAUGAAUUUGACGUAUUAACAUUUAUAUUUGACAUAUUUUCCAAAUAUUACCCAAAGUUCUCUUUCAAAAAUAAGUCAAACUUACAUAUUUCUGAUUUAUCUAAGUCAGAAGUAAGUUCGAUAACAUCUCUAUUAAUGCAUUAUACAUGUAUUUAUGAUAGAAGAGAUGUAUUAACAGUACCACUGUGUAAUACUUUAGAUCAAAAAACACAAAUACACAUUAGAAACUUUCUCGAAAAAGUUACUAGCAAUAUAACUUAUGAGGAACUCCAGAGGCACAUGCAAAGUAAUUAUGAUGAAAAUGCAUUGGAUACAUCAGUGUGUAUGUCUGACAUUUGCUCACCUUUAAUAUAUCAAAGUCCUCUACAGGAUAUACUAAAAACACCUAGUUUCAAAGCUGGGAGGCUCCAAGUAAAAGACAGAGAGAUUAGCAAACUUAAAUCUGAACUUGAGCUAGAAAGAUAUGAAAAAGCUGAUCUACAAGAGGAGAUUAAACUACAAAUAGAAAAAAACAAAAAAUUGGACAAACAGCUUGAACAAAAGAAAUCAGAAAUAUCCAGACUAAGAGCAGAAGUAUUGUCUUUAGAGAGCAGAACUCCACCUCAUUAUCAAGACAGAGACUCGAGGGAAAUACAGAAGCAACUACGCAGUGAGAUACAAAGUCUGGAACAAUACAUCCAUCAGUGUGAUGAAGAACAUGAGCAACUUAGAAAGGAAAAGGAUGCAGCUAAGGAGAAGGUUCGAAAAUUGGAGCUGCAAGUAACACAAUGGCAAGAAAAGUUUUUCCUCACUGAGAACAAUUUUCAAAAACUGAGCGAGCAAUCGCGGGAACAGCAAACACAACUGGAAAACCUGCAACUCCACUGCAGUGAAUUAGAAGGAUUGCUGGACGAAAUACGCAGUAAACCGUUGAAUGAGAGUCUACUGGAUGACAAUUACUUGAACAGAAGUCUGGGGUUGACGCCGUCGUGCGAGGAUUUGGCGCACUCUGUCGUUGACGUUCAAUUGAGAGAUGUACAGAAACAAAAUGAGGAUUUGAAGAAUGUCCUGAAGGAGUCGCAGGAAACGGCUUCUAAACUUCACGUCCAAAUGGAGAAACUAAGUAUCAAGUUACAUGAAACCAAUAAUAGAUGUUCAGAACUGGCACAGGAAAAGGAGCUUUUUAUAUUGAAGAUAUCAGAACAAGAAAAAUGCAUACAAGAAAAAAUCGCAGAGUUAAACUGUUCUCAAAAUGAUUGUACACUAUUAAAGGAACAGAUUUCAAAAGCUUUAUCUGAAGUGUCUGAUCUAAAAGAAAAUUUGGAUAUAUUAACAAUUACGAAAAAUAAGUUGGAAAUUGAACAAAAAAAUCUUCAAGAAUUAGUUGAUGAAUUGAGAACAAAUCAAAAAAUCUCCGAGGCCAAUAUUUUAAAAUUAAAUAACGAUAAUCGAAAAUUAGAAACUUCAAAAUCUGAUUUAGAAAAUCAUCUUAAAAGCAGUCAAAAGGAUUGUGAAAUAUUUAAAACGGAAAUUCAAGAAUUGAAAGAGCAACUUUCAGUUUCUGUUGCGGAGAUAGCAUCUAAAAAUGAAAAUUUGGACAUUUUAAAUUGUACAAAAACUAAAUUGGAAAAAGAUCAAGAAAAUCUUAAAAAAUUAAUUGAUGAAUUGAAUGAUAAACAAAAAUCAUCUGAAGACAAUAUUUUAAAAUUAAAAGAAGAUAUUCUAAGACUAGAAUUUGUAAAAUCUGAUUUAGAGAAACAACUUGAAAGUAGUCAAACGGAAUGUGAAACAUUUAAGACAGAAAUUCAUGAAUUAAAAGAGCAACUUUCAAUAUCUGCGGCAGAGAUUGUAUCUAAAAAUGAAGAUUUGGAUAAUUUAAAUAAUACAAAAGCUAAAUUGGAAAAAGAUCACAAAAAUCUUCAACAAUUAAUUGACGAAUUGAAUGAUAAACAAAAAUCAUCUGAAGACGAUAUUUUAAAAUUAAAUGACGAUAUUCUAAAACUGGAAUUUGUAAAAACUGAUUUAGAGAAACAGCUUGAAAGCAGUCAAACGGAUUGUGAAACAUUUAAGACAGAAAUUCAGGAAUUAAAAGAGCAGCUUUCAGUUUCUGUCGCUGAGAUAGCAUCUAAAACUGAAAAUUUGGACAUUUUGAAUAAUACAAAAACUAAAUUAGAAAAAGAACAAGAAAAUCUUCAAAAAUUAAUUAAUGAAUUAAAUCAUAAACAAAAAGCAUCUGAAGACAAUAUUGUAAAAUUAAGUGACGAUAUUCUAAAACUAGAAUAUAUAAAAUCUGAUUUAGAAAAUCAUCUUAAAAGCAGUCAAAAGGAUUGUGAAACAUUUAAAACGGAAAUUCAAGAACUAAAAGAGCAACUUUCACUUUCUCAGACAGAGAUAGCAUCUAAAAAUGAAGAUUUAAACAUUUUGACUAAUACAAAAACUAAAUUAGAAAAAGAACAGGAAAAUCUUCAGAAAUUAUUUGAUGAAUUAAAUGCGAAACAAACGUCAUCUGAGGAUACAAUAUUGAAAUUAAAUGACAACAUUGUAAAACUUGAAACGUCUAAAUCUGAUCUAGAAAAAGAACUUAGUCUUAGUCAGACAAACUGUGAAACUAUUAAAACGGACCUUUCUGUUUCCUUAUCUGAAAUGACAAAACUUAAAGAAAAUUUGGAUAUUUUAAGUCAUGAUAAAGUCCUACUAGAAAAAGAACAGGAAACUCUUAAUGAAAAAAUUGUUGAAUUGAAGGCAGAGCAGCAGUCAUCGAACGACACAAUAUUGAAAUUAACCGACGAUUAUCAGAAAUUAAAGGUCAUAAAAUCUGAUUUAGAAAAACACUUCAAUAGUAGUCAAGAAAAUUGUGAAACAUUAAAGGUAGAAGUUUCACAAUUAAAAGAGCGAAUUUCCGAAACUUCAUCUGAAAUAGCAAGACUGAAGGAUAACUUAGAGAUUUUAGGGAACAGCAAAACAAGUUUAGAGAAGGAAUACGAAGAUCUUCAGAAAAUAAACAAUGAAAUGAUUUCUAAACAAAAGUCGUCUGACAAUACUAUCAUAAAAUUGAAUGAUGAUGUUCUUAAGUUAGAGACUUCAAAGUCUGAUUUUGAAAAACAACUUAAAAAUAGCCAAGAAGAGUAUAAAAUGCUAGAGUCGAACAUUUUAGAAUUAAAACGACAACAUUCUAAAUCUUUGUCUGAGGUUACAUGCUUAAAAGAGGAAGUAUUAAAAUUGAAAAAAGAAAAGGAAAGUUUUAUUGAAACUAUUGCUGAAUCACUGAAUUGUGAAUUAGAAAAACAACUAAAUGACAAUCAGAAAUAUUGUGCUACGUUUAAGGUAAAAAUUUCCGAGUUAAAUGAAAACUUGACAACUACCAAAAAUAAUCUCCAAGAAAGUAACAACAAAAUUUCAAAUUUGAAACAAGAAAUAACCAUCUCCAAAACAGAAAUUGAAAAUUUACAAGGUGUCGUUAAUAACAAACAACGUGAAAUAGACAAUUUAAAUGAUAAAUUGGCAUCUUUUGAGAACGAUGUUAAAAAUCUUCAACUCUUAAACAACAACAAACAGAGAGAGAUUGACAAUUUUGUAGAUAAGGCAACUAAAACUACUGAAGAAAUUGAAAAUCUGCGUACAUCAAUCAAGAAGAAGGAGGAUGAAGUUGAUCAGAAAGAAGAAUACAUAAAGUCUUUGGAAUCCGAUUUAAAUGAGUUGAAAUUAAAAGAUUCCAGUAGUAUUUCAGUUAUAAACAAUUUAGAAAUUGUUGUGAAUAAUUUGAAAUCAGAAAAUUCAGAGUUUAAAAAUAUCAUUCAUGGAAAUAAUGAAAAAAUAAUUAAUACUGCUAAGCAAGUGGAAGAACAGCAACAAGAAUGCUCGGCGUUCCAAUCAACAAUCGCCUCCUUGAAAUCGCAACUGGAAGAAUCUGAAAAGAAUAUUUCAAUUGCUAAGGAAAAUAUAAAACUUAAAGAUAUUGAUUUAUCAAAUAAUAAGGAAAUCAUUGCAAAUUGUCAAAACAUAAUUGACCAAAAUAAUGAUAAGAUCAGAGAAUUAGUUCAACUAAAUGAAAAUUAUCGAAACGAACUGGAUAGUAUUAAGGUACAACUGCAAAACUGUUAUGACACUUUACACAAGAAAGAUAUGAGAGUAGAAGAACUUAUGACAGAAAACGAGGAGCUUAAACAGAAUAAAGAGAUCUUGAACAAAGAAAUUGAAAAGUUAACUAUGGUAAAGGAAGAAUUGACAAAGUCUUGCUUCAGUUAUAAGGAAUAUUGGGAGUUAGAAGUGGAACAAGUGAAGAAAAUUCAGAAAGACCUGAAAAACAUUAACACCCACCUGGAGGAAGAAAAGAAUGUAUUUUUAGAAACAGUCUUGCAAAAAGACAACCAAAUUUCAGAAUUAGAAACGACGAUCUCUAAGCUGACGAAACAAAAGGAUAAUUUACUUACGGAAAUUAGUCAAGCUAAAGAAACUAUUGACAUCGUUCAAAGUGAUUUACAAAAUGAUAACAGCCUGCUUAAUCAAUACAAAGAGAGAACUAUGAAGAUUCUUAACACUGUUCAAGAAUUGUAUGGAAAUUUGAAUAGUGAUGAACAAGUUGAAAAUGACCUGAUACAGCAAUUGACCACCAUUGAAAACCAGGUGGUAAAAAUUAAAAAAGAAAACACAAAACUUCAAGAAGAUUACAAUAAAGUGAGAGAAAGUGAAUCUGCACUAAUAGCCAAAAGUAAUGUUUUAGAAGACAACAUUAUGAGAAUAAAAUCGGCUGUUACUGCUACAAACGACGAUUUACAUAACUUAAUUGCGUCAGUGAAGGAAAAAAUUACGCUAGAAACAUCUGACGAAUUAACAACAGACAGCAAUAACGAAGUAGAGAUUUUGUGCAAGUAUGUAAGGGAACUGAAAGGCUACAUAAGUAGUUUCUUGACAAGUGAAGAACUCUACAUGAUUGAAAUUGAAGGUCUGAAAGAAGAUCUAGAUGCCGCCUUAAACAAAUGCUCCGACGAACUUCAAGAAAAACGUGAACUCAAAAUGGAAAGCGAAUCUCAAAUAACUGAUCUGACCAGAAAUUUGCACGAGAUUAUUGAAAAAUACAACAAACUCGAACUUGAGUACAAAACAGUCAAGAAUAAAUUGGAGGAGUGUGAAAAUCAAAUGCAAGCCAAAGCAGAACUUGUACAAGAAUCUAAUCAAUUAAAGGAACAAUUGAACGCUCAAGAAACCAAAAAUCGUGAACUGACUGAAGAGAACGAAAAAUUAAAAGCUACCGUUCAAGAACAAGAGGAGCAACUUGCCAAAAUUAAAUGCGAUUUUGAGGAGCUCAACAUUAAAUUAACCAAGGACAUUAAAGACAGAGACAACGAGAUCAUUGUCUUAAAACAAACUAUUGGCAAUCUAGAGAUUAUAAUACAACAAAAGAAUUUAGAGAUUUUGAAACUCCAAACCCAAAUAGAAGAGUCUAAACGACACAUCGAUUUAUUAACCACACAAAACAGUAGUUUGAACACCUUAUUGAACGGUAACAAAGACCAACAUGUAAAAGAUGCACAAAAGAGAAAAUCAGAAUAUGAAAUUAUAAUUUCAGAACAUAAGAGCGCCUUUGACAAUCUCAAAACUGUCAACGAUAAGCUCAUGUUAAGUUUAACCCAAGCAAAAUCAGAAUUAAACACCGCCAACAGUUUAAUAGAAAGCACCCGAAAAGAGAAACAUGAUUUGGAGGAUAUUAUUAAAGAAACCAACGAAGUUUUGGAAGAUACAAUCAAAGAGAAGAAACAAUUACAAGAAGAAUUCGAGGCAGUGCAAGUCAAUCUCACGGAAAAAGACCAUUUAUUAACCGAAUUGAGAAACGAAUUGGACGAAACUUACCAGAAAAUUUCCGAUUUGAAGGGCAUACGGGAAGAACUCAACGUACAACUUGAAGUUUCCAGAAAAGAAACUCAGGAAGCAAUAAAAUUGAAGGAUGAGCUUUUGGAAUCACAGUCUAAUUACAUGAAAGAAAUCGAAGUGAAUGCGGCGCAUAAAACUUCUCUAGAGAUUGGUGAGUUAAGGAAACGCAAUGAGAUGUUGGAGAAAGAAAGAGCGGCGGAGAAAGAUAUAAGAAAACGGUUAGAAAUUGAAGUGCAGAGAGUCAGACAAGCGUACGGCAACGUUAUGACUGCCAAUUCCAGUUUGGAGUUGGAGAAUAGCAAAUUACGCACCUCUGUUAAAGAUAAAAAGGAGGAAAUUGGUAAUUACAUGCACAUUAAAGAGGCAUAUGAGAAGCUACUUGAAGAGAACAACAAACUAUUGACGGACGUCGAUACCUUAAAAUAUAAGCGGUUGAGGGAAAAGGAAGACAUUAAGGAUGUACUGAACAAGGACCGGGAGGAAACUGAACGUAGACACGAGAAGAGGAUUCAGGAUAUCAGAAUGGAAUACGAGGGCAAAUUGGAAAAAAUGAAAGAAAAAAUGUUAAAACUCUACAAAGACGAACAGACCAAAGCAAAAGCUGUGUUGGAAAGUCAAAUGUCCAAAGUACAGAGUGAACUUGCAGCUGCGGAACAGAAGAUUCAUCUAUUGGAAACUGAACGAGACAUGUUAAGAGAACGUGAAGUACAGAGAAGUUUACAUUCUUCCAGGGAAUCUUUGAGUCAGCGCUCUUCUGUUUCCGGACAAAACAGGUAUUCCAGCACAAGCUCCUUGAGAAGUAGACCACAUCAAACCACAUCCAGCUCGUCAAUAGCACAACGGGAUAAAAAACAACCUAGCACCACCAGCUUAUCUAGUCUUAGAGGAGGAAUAAGAGAAAACAAAGUAUCACCCGACUCCGGACGAGUUUCAAUCGCCAGUUUACCAAUUGGAAUUGGCCAAAGUUUACGUAUGGAGGAUGAAGAAGAGGCAAUGUUUAAUAAUAAGUACUUAUCAGAUUUGAAGGAAGGUAGAGGUUUUUUAACAGGCAGAGAAUCAACAAGUAGCCGACUUUCUACUUUGGCUAUGAGGAAUUCGAUGGUUCCGCCUCACUUGAAGUCUUCCUACCCCGCCGAGACUCAGUUCGUAAGUCCAUCUCACUACAAAGAUGACGAAAUUAAGACUGGGAACGUGGACUUGGACGAUAGCCUGUCGAAAUUGUUGCCAGGUGAAAAACAUGACAAGCGCCAGCGCAAGGACAUCGGAACGACCACGUACAAGAAGCCUGGUCCUCCAACGCCGAGCAAGAACGGCGGCAGACUGUCGUUGCAGGGCAACGAGGUCCAUCCUUUGCGCGAGUCCAACGACAAGACGCCGCUGAAAAAGGUGACGACACCCGGGCGUUUGAAAUCCCUUUUUUCGAGCAAGAAUGUCACUAGUUCGUUGAGGGAGAAUUCUGAGGGCAUUUCAGGAUGAACAUUUCUCAAUUUUGACGUUGAAUUUGCAUUUUUCAGUUUUUCACCCAUAUAUAUUGUAUAUAGUAGGAAGAAUACGGUUACACCAUCUAGGACCAAAAGAAGGAGCAUUUUCAGAAAGCCAAAAUAAUAACCUAUUGAUUGGGUUUUAAAUCUGUUCUUGUAUAUAUUUAUUUAUAUUUAUAGUGUGUAUUGAUUUAUGUUUGCUUGCUUUUAAGUUUUAUACAAAGCUUUUUUAAUAUAUUUUUACUAUUUUU